GACGAACGCUGGCGGCGUGCUUAACACAUGCAAGUCGUACGGUAAGGCCCUUUCGGGGGUACACGAGUGGCGAACGGGUGAGUAACACGUGAGUAACCUGCCCACAACUUUGGGAUAACGCUAGGAAACUGGUGCUAAUACUGGAUAUGUGCUCCUGCUGCAUGGUGGGGGGUGGAAAGCUCCGGCGGUUGUGGAUGGACGCGCGGCCUAUCAGCUUGUUGGUGGGGUAGUGGCGUACCAAGGCGGCGACGGGUAGCCGGCUUGAGAGGGUGACCGGCCACAUUGGGACUGAGAUACGGCCCAGACUCCUACGGGAGGCAGCAGUGGGGAAGAUUGCACAAUGGGCGCAAGCCAGAUGCAGCAACGCCGCGUGCGGGAUGACGGCCUUCGGGUUGUAAUCCGCUUUCAGCAGGGACGAAGCUUUUUGUGACGGUACCUGCAGAAGAAGCACCGGCUAACUACGUG
RNAcentral lists this ribosomal RNA (465 nucleotides) under uncultured bacterium. RNAcentral describes it as "partial 16S ribosomal RNA". It matches the Rfam family "Bacterial small subunit ribosomal RNA", at positions 28 to 507 of the family's 1533-position model. The record is from RNAcentral.